Molecule: ribosomal RNA, 731 nt
Filed under: uncultured eukaryote
Lineage: Eukaryota
Description: SSU rRNA
Rfam family: Eukaryotic small subunit ribosomal RNA
Source: RNAcentral
CGCGUGCACUGGUCCGGGCCGGGCCUUUCCCUCUGCGGAACCCCAUGCCCUUCACUGGGUGUGGCGGGGAAACAGGACUUUUACUUUGAAAAAAUUAGAGUGCUCAAGGCAGGCCUAUGCUCGAAUACAUUAGCAUGGAAUAAUAGAAUAGGACGUGUGGUUCUAUUUUGUUGGUUUCUAGGACCGCCGUAAUGAUUAAUAGGGACAGUCGGGGGCAUCAGUAUUCAAUUGUCAGAGGUGAAAUUCUUGGAUUUAUUGAAGACUAACUACUGCGAAAGCAUUUGCCAAGGAUGUUUUCAUUAAUCAGGAACGAAAGUUAGGGGAUCGAAGACGAUCAGAUACCGUCGUAGUCUUAACCAUAAACUAUGCCGACUAGGGAUCGGACGAUGUUACAUUUUUGACGCGUUCGGCACCUUACGAGAAAUCAAAGUGCUUGGGCUCCAGGGGGAGUAUGGUCGCAAGGCUGAAACUUAAAGAAAUUGACGGAAGGGCACCACCAGGGGUGGAGCCUGCGGCUUAAUUUGACUCAACACGGGGAAACUCACCAGGUCCAGACACAAUGAGGAUUGACAGAUUGAGAGCUCUUUCUUGAUUUUGUGGGUGGUGGUGCAUGGCCGUUCUUAGUUGGUGGAGUGAUUUGUCUGCUUAAUUGCGAUAACGAACGAGACCUUAACCUGCUAAAUAGCCCGUAUUGCUUUGGCAGUACGCUGGCUUCUUAGAGGGACUAUCGG